This 800-nucleotide ribosomal RNA is filed under the name uncultured bacterium. Its description in RNAcentral is "bacterial SSU rRNA". It matches the Rfam family "Bacterial small subunit ribosomal RNA", at positions 8 to 816 of the family's 1533-position model. The record is from RNAcentral.
AGAGUUUGAUCCUGGCUCAGAUUGAACGCUGGCGGUAUGCCUAACACAUGCAAGUCGAACGAGGUAGCAAUACCUAGUGGCGGACGGGUGAGGAAUACGUAGGGAUCUGCCUUUAAGUGGGGGAUAACCCGGGGAAACCCGGAUUAAUACCGCAUGAUCUCGCAAGAGCAAAGAGGGGGACCGCAAGGCCUCUCGCUUUUAGAGGAACCUACGUCGGAUUAGCUAGUUGGUGAGGUAAUGGCUCACCAAGGCGACGAUCCGUAACUGGUCUGAGAGGAUGAUCAGUCACACCGGAACUGAGACACGGUCCGGACUCCUACGGGAGGCAGCAGUGGGGAAUAUUGGACAAUGGGCGAAAGCCUGAUCCAGCAAUACCGCGUGUGUGAAGAAGGCCUUCGGGUUGUAAAGCACUUUAAGUUGGGAAGAAAAAGCUUCACCUAAUACGUGGAGCCUUGACGGUACCGACAGAAUAAGCACCGGCUAACUCUGUGCCAGCAGCCGCGGUAAUACAGAGGGUGCUAGCGUUAAUCGGAUUUACUGGGCGUAAAGCGUGCGUAGGCGGUUUGAUAAGUCGAUUGUGAAAGCCCCGGGCUCAACCUGGGAAUUGCGGUCGAUACUGUCAGACUCGAAAACGGUAGAGGGAGGCGGAACUCCAGGUGUAGCGGUGAAAUGCGUAGAUAUCUGGAAGAACACCGAUGGCGAAGGCAACCUCCUGGGCCUGUUUUGACGCUGAGGCACGAAAGCGUGGGUAGCAAACAGGAUUAGAUACCCUGGUAGUCCACGCCGUAAACGAUGAGAAC